AAGGUUCACACAACACAUGUCAAUUAGGCAUACUAAUCCAUUUCAAAUUUAUGUCUACACAUCAACACCAUUUCUAAGCCAUUUUAAAUCCAUCAAAACCAUCAACAUUAUCCCUUCCUUAGGGCUGCCAAAAUUCAGGGCAUGCAUACACAUAAAUUUCAUUCAUUUGGCUUUCAAAUUCUUACUCCCUUUUAAGUAUUUAACAUGAAAAUAAAGAGUUCUAAGUAUAUAUGUGCACUAACCUUUAAGUGG
This 252-nucleotide unclassified non-coding RNA is filed under the name Hevea brasiliensis (rubber tree). Lineage: Eukaryota; Viridiplantae; Streptophyta; Magnoliopsida; Malpighiales; Euphorbiaceae. The record is from RNAcentral.